Non-coding RNA from Annulohypoxylon maeteangense, 125 nucleotides. The record is from the annotation of a RefSeq genome assembly. NCBI's taxonomy places the organism in Eukaryota, Fungi, Ascomycota, Sordariomycetes, Xylariales, Hypoxylaceae.
GGUGGGAUGGCCGAGUGGUUAUGGCGCUGCGUUCAGGUUAAGCCGAAUUUGAAUCCAGCAUUAGAUGCUGGGAGUGAAAUAUCGCAGUGGAGCAAUCCGCGUGGGUUCGAGUCCCACUUCCAUCA